Molecule: ribosomal RNA, 206 nt
Filed under: uncultured bacterium
Lineage: Bacteria
Description: partial 16S ribosomal RNA
Rfam family: Bacterial small subunit ribosomal RNA
Source: RNAcentral
UGCGUAGGCGGCAUGUCAAGCCAGAGGUGAAAGGCAUUGGCUCAACCAAUAUAAGCCUUUGGAACUGACGUGCUUGAGUACAGGAGAGGUAAGUGGAAUUCCUAGUGUAGAGGUGAAAUUCGUAGAUAUUAGGAGGAACACCAGUGGCGAAGGCGACUUACUGGACUGUAACUGACGCUGAGGCACGAAAGCGUGGGUAGCGAACA